RNAcentral lists this ribosomal RNA (462 nucleotides) under uncultured ammonia-oxidizing beta proteobacterium. Its description in RNAcentral is "bacterial SSU rRNA". It matches the Rfam family "Bacterial small subunit ribosomal RNA", at positions 202 to 647 of the family's 1533-position model. Lineage: Bacteria; Pseudomonadati; Pseudomonadota; Betaproteobacteria. The record is from RNAcentral.
AAGCAGGGGAUCGUAAGACCUUGCGCUUUUGGAGCGGCCGAUGCCUGAUUAGCUAGUUGGUGGGGUAAGGGCCUACCAAGGCGACGAUCAGUAGUUGGUCUGAGAGGACGACCAGCCACACUGGGACUGAGACACGGCCCAGACUCCUACGGGAGGCAGCAGUGGGGAAUUUUGGACAAUGGGCGGAAGCCUGAUCCAGCAAUGCCGCGUGAGUGAAGAAGGCCUUCGGGUUGUAAAGCUCUUUCAGUCGAGAAGAAAAGGUUGCGACUAAUAAUCGCAACUUAUGACGGUAUCGACAGAAGAAGCACCGGCUAACUACGUGCCAGCAGCCGCGGUAAUACGUAGGGUGCGAGCGUUAAUCGGAAUUACUGGGCGUAAAGGGUGCGCAGGCGGCUCUGUAAGUCAGAUGUGAAAUCCCCGGGCUUAACCUGGGAAUUGCGUUUGAAACUACAAAGCUAGAGU